RNAcentral lists this long non-coding RNA (4084 nucleotides) under Gossypium barbadense (sea-island cotton). RNAcentral describes it as "long non-coding RNA (GBAR_LNC013526)". Lineage: Eukaryota; Viridiplantae; Streptophyta; Magnoliopsida; Malvales; Malvaceae. The record is from RNAcentral.
UUCAAUCUAGUUGCCAUGGUUCUCCUAGCAACAAAUGGCAGGCUUGAAUAGGUACUACGUCGCACACGACUUCGUCUUGAUACUUACCGAUAGAAAAGGCGAUGCGCACUUGUUGAGUGACCUUAAAUUGGCUUUCGUUGCUAAGCCCUUGUAGUUGAUAAGGUCGUGGAUGCUUGGUAGUGGUUAAGCAAAGCUUUUCCACCAUCGUCGUGCUGGCUACGUUCAAGCAACUUUCACCAUCAAUAAUAACUCUACAAAGCUUACCUUGUACAUGGCAGCGAGUAUGAAAGAGAUGUUCUCGUUGCUGCUCGCUCUUUGGAUUUGCCAAAGAGGGUUGUCCACGAUCAUGAAGAUCAUAAUCAGUUCUAGGGACACAUCGAGGAGCGCACCUAUGAGCAGGAGGCUGGUUAUCCACAUCGUCUUGAAUUUGAUCUCGAUAUUGAGGCUCUUGAUUCAACCGCACCUUAUUGAUAGUAGCAGUCAACGCUCGAAGUGCAGCAGCCUGUUCGUCAAACUGUUGUUGGAAUUUUUUAAAUAUGUCACUAUUAUUAUCACCUGUAGACAUUUUUUUUUUAAAACCUGCAAAACACUCAACACUCAAAAAUAAAAGUUAUCAAACCUCACCAUUAAUCACUCAAAAGAAAGAAAUCAAAUUCUCAAUGAGGUCGAAUUCAAUCUUGUGAGUUCUUUAUCAGAGUUUAUAUCAACCAAUUAGAGAGUGUGAACCAAACUACCAAAGAAUCCUAAUUUGCACUAGGAUGCCAAAAACUGACGAGACACCAAGUGAUUCGUGUUGCACCGAGGAAGGAGUUGUGCACACGUGUAAAUCCUACUAACACAAGAAACAAGAAAGUGUUAGAUAACGUAACAGAAGAAUAAAAAGCAAACAAAUGAAAACCUACAGCUAAGAAUCACUAAAAAUUGCUAAAACCAGAAAACCCGAAAAACUGCGGAGUAACUUGACAACUUCGUUAGAGGUGUUCCCGAUCUCCAAAAAUCACGAAAUUAAAUCUGGAGUGUCCUUAUAUAUUGAAUUUUUGAUCUGGAAAUUUUGGACACCAAAUUCAACCCGCUGAAUCUUUUUUUAAAAUUUUUAUUGAAUUUCGUCUUUUUUGAUUUUUUUGACUUUUUUGACUGAUUUUUUUGCGGGAAUAAUUUUUUUAUAUUUAAUAACAGUGCCAAAAACAUGUAUGUAAAAUUUAAGAUCAAUUGGACAACGUUUACCCACUCAAAUGAAUUUUUUUGAACAAAUUUUUGGGUAAAACUGCUGUUUAUGCUUUAAAAAAUAGAGAUCAGUUUAGAAAUCAACCAAGAACACCCAAAACGCCCAAAAUCUGAUACCAAAUGAUAGGGGUUGCGCGCGGACCAAGAUCGAGUUGCCAAGUCACGGGAAACUCCUACGAAAACCCUAAACAAUUAGAUCUGAAACGAAACAGAAAAUUAAAAGAUUAGAUUUUUGAAUUUUCAGAUCUGAAAUAAAAUCCCCAAAUCAGCAAAGAAUCAAAUUGAGAAUAGAAAUAAGUGUUAGGGUUCUUGAAACCCUCAAGGAGAUUGUGAUUCUGCCCAAUUGAACACCAAGAUAGUUUUCCCCAAAUUUCGACAAUCUAAUUUCACCCAAAAAGAGUAUGGAAAAACCCUAGAAAUUGGGGAUUUUUGGGCUGAUUCCUUAAGAUAGAAAAAGGCUGAAAACACAAUAAGAACAGAAAAUAAAUUAGAUAAAGAUUCGGCACAAGCAGAAAUAAAGAAAGAAUUGACAGUAAGAAAUUAAAAGAUAAGUCCUAAGAAGCCUUGAAAUCUCGAAGAUCUCACAACUCCCUUCAAACGGCUCUAAUCUCCCCUCCAAAGAAUAUCAAUGGCAAGAAGAAGGUUGAAGAUGGCUCCCACAAUCACAAGAUUGUUAAAACAACUUCUAAAGAAAACUCAAGAGAGAAAUCUUGGAGAAAACUCAAAGAAAAUUCUGCUCUCAACAAAUCUGAAAUUUUAAUAAUAAUGAUAAGUGUUUAACAAGGUGGACAGCCAUGCCUUUAAAUAGGCAUUAUAACUAGUCCUAAUCUAAUUAGAAAACUAAAAUAAAAAAAACUCCUAAUUAUUUUUAUAUGGAAAUUCGGUCAAAGGUCAUUUUAUCUGGGACUCUUGGACUGAAUAUUGACAUAAAAAUUUAAACUAAGUAAAUAAAUAAAUAAAUAAAUAAAUAAAAAUAAAACUUUACAACUUGGGCCACUUUGACAAUUUGGCCUGAUUUUCAACUAAGUAUGGAUGGAUUUCUUGAUUGGGCUGGGAAUUUGCUUAUUGGGCCUCGCCUUCAAGAAUUUGGGCUUUUGUGACUCGUAUCAUUCCCCCCUUCCUCAAAAAGAUUCGUCCUCGAAUCUGAAAAAUCAAAUGAACUCGACUUUCCUCUAUCGAACGAGACUAAUGGCAAUUGAGUCCACUGAAAAGAAUAGCCAUGAGAUAGUAAAUAGCAACGGAAACAAGCUUGUAAUCCAAUCAUAAGCAUAACAGAACAGGUAUAACGCAUGUGAAUGGACAGAUUCAGAUUACCAUGCAAACAAUCUAAUUUACUCACCACUGCCUCGUCAAAUAUUUGAAACAAAGAUGGACAUGUUUUAAGGCAUUCAGUCGUCUCACAUUGUUCCCACAAACCAUGAAUAAAUUGCGAGUAAUAAAUCAAAUGGUAAACAUAAUCGUCACAAGUAGGUAUUUGAAAAGAUUCACAUGGUUCACAGAGUUGCAUAAUCAUACCAUGCAUUAAUCGACGGUCUAUAGAUUCACUCACACAUGCAUUAUCAAAAACAAGAAUCUUUUUAUCAACCAUCAAAAUAGAUAGAUCAUCAAUAAAUAAAAUAGGACAGUCAAGCACGUUUCGAUCUAAGAGUUCAUCAACACGAUCUUUAUCACUAUCCGAGGAGUACAAAAGUGUUUCAAAGGUUUCAAGCAUCUUACCUCGAUAAGCAGAAGAAUAAGGGUCGAUUUUACCUUUUUCAUUUAAAACAAACCUUCGCUCAUCGAGGGCAUAGUGUAGUCGAAUCUUCGUUGUUGAGUUAACGUUUGUCAAAUGGAACUCAAACUUCAUGUACAACCACAUAAACUGUUUAAGGCACGAAUAUAAAUUGAAAACAAAUUUGGAAAAUUUCGUUACCUUAUUCUCCAAAAUAGAUUUGGACAAAUUCGAGGAUUUUACACAAGGUAAAUCAAGAGAAUAACAAAUCACGCUUCUUUUCAUAAUGACUUUAUCAACCACAAUCGAAGAGUAAUAAUUAAUCGGAUCAAAAUGAGGGGAUCUUUUAAGAACUAAGUCACCAAAAGUUUUAUUAAUAAUUUUCAAAUCUGCACUGGACUCGGUUUCUAAAAUUUCCUUACCUCGCUUACCUUCGGGAUCAUGUAGUGUGAUUUCAUCUUUGCCUAAGUUGAUCGUAUGAAAGCGUCUUUCAUUUGAGAGGUAUUGAAGUUGAAAGUUAUCUUUCGAUCUUUCGAGAACCUGAAACGUAGCAACACAAGAAAAAUUCAUAUCUUGGUUAGUGGAAACAUUCCUCACUACCCUUUCCACGUCUUUUUCUUUUGUUUCUUUUUUUAAUUCAUUUUCUCUUCUUUCUUCAAUUUCUUUUUCACUCUCAAUCUCUUUUUGCUCUUUUUCAUUCUCUUUUUCUUUUUCCUCACUUAUUUUAACAGAAUUUUUCAGUUUGAUUUGGUCCACAUGGACUUGUUCUGGAGUGAGCGGCACUAAGGUGAUUUUCCUUCCUUGAUACUUGAAAGAAUACCUAUUGGUACGACCAUCGUGAGUGACCUUUCAAUCUAGUUGCCAUGGUUCUCCUAGCAACAAAUGGCAGGCUUGAAUAGGUACUACGUCGCACACGACUUCGUCUUGAUACUUACCGAUAGAAAAGGCGAUGCACACUUGUUGAGUGACCUUAAAUUGGCUUUCGUUGCUAAGCCCUUGUAGUUGAUAAGGUCGUGGAUGCUUGGUAGUGGUUAAGCAAAGCUUUUCCACCAUCGUCGUGCUGGCUACAUUCAAGCAACUUUCACCAUCAAUAAUAACUCUACAAAGCUUACCUUGUACAUGGCAGCGAGUAUGAAAGAGAUGUUCUCG